CAGCAGCCGCGGGAAUACGGAGGGAGCUAGCGUUGUUCGGAAUUACUGGGCGUAAAGCGCGCGUAGGCGGUUACUCAAGUCAGAGGUGAAAGCCCGGGGCUCAACCCCGGAACUGCCUUUGAAACUAGGUGACUAGAAUCUUGGAGAGGUCAGUGGAAUUCCGAGUGUAGAGGUGAAAUUCGUAGAUAUUCGGAAGAACACCAGUGGCGAAGGCGACUGACUGGACAAGUAUUGACGCUGAGGUGCGAAAGCGUGGGGAGCAAACAGGAUUAGAUACCCCGGUAGUCCCUGUCUCUUAUAA
Molecule: ribosomal RNA, 301 nt
Filed under: uncultured bacterium
Lineage: Bacteria
Description: partial 16S ribosomal RNA
Rfam family: Bacterial small subunit ribosomal RNA
Source: RNAcentral